GUGUCAGCAGCCGCGGUAAUACGUAGGGUGCGAGCGUUAAUCGGAAUUACUGGGCGUAAAGCGUGCGCAGGCGGCCUGAUAAGUCAGAUGUGAAAUCCCCGAGCUCAACUUGGGAACUGCGUUUGAAACUAUCAAGCUAGAAUAUGUCAGAGGGGGGUAGAAUUCCACGUGUAGCAGUGAAAUGCGUAGAGAUGUGGAGGAAUACCAAUGGCGAAGGCAGCCCCCUGGGAUAAUAUUGACGCUCAUGCACGAAAGCGUGGGGAGCAAACAGGAUUAGAUACCCUAGUAGUCC
Molecule: ribosomal RNA, 292 nt
Filed under: uncultured Methylophilus sp.
Lineage: Bacteria; Pseudomonadati; Pseudomonadota; Betaproteobacteria; Nitrosomonadales; Methylophilaceae
Description: partial 16S ribosomal RNA
Rfam family: Bacterial small subunit ribosomal RNA
Source: RNAcentral